UGCAUAUGCAUAUUGUCCGAAAUUCACUGAUGCAUGAAGGGCUGAUGAGAUCCAUAUGAGGGUUGUUAAAGUCUUUGUAAGAUCUGUCUUGAUUUCACAGAAUCAUCAUCUUCAUAGAAGAGGUCGCAGAAAUCUUUCACCCAUGUAUCGAUGGCCAGCCAUACAUCGAGACCAUCUAGACCAUAGGGGUAAUCUUGGAAGAGAAUUUGGGCCUCAGUGGGGCUUUCUGGGUCUUCCAGGGCCAUGCGCCUGAGAAGUGAUAUCAAGAUAUAUUAUAUGGUAUUAUGUAAAAAUUUUACGAUUCUCAACCCCAACCGUCAAACGUUUUUGAACGUCCGGCCACUUUCUAGGUUAACUGCUAAUAAUCUAUUAAACUGAAGGUUUUUU
Non-coding RNA from Theobroma cacao (cacao), 387 nucleotides. The record is from RefSeq and is a predicted model, not a curated record. NCBI's taxonomy places the organism in Eukaryota, Viridiplantae, Streptophyta, Magnoliopsida, Malvales, Malvaceae.